Molecule: ribosomal RNA, 451 nt
Filed under: uncultured bacterium
Lineage: Bacteria
Description: partial 16S ribosomal RNA
Rfam family: Bacterial small subunit ribosomal RNA
Source: RNAcentral
AGCGAACGCUGGCGGCAGGCUUAACACAUGCAAGUCGAGCGGGCAUAGCAAUAUGUCAGCGGCAGACGGGUGAGUAACGCGUGGGAACGUACCUUUUGGUUCGGAACAACACAGGGAAACUUGUGCUAAUACCGGAUAAGCCCUUACGGGGAAAGAUUUAUCGCCGAAAGAUCGGCCCGCGUCUGAUUAGCUAGUUGGUGAGGUAAUGGCUCACCAAGGCGACGAUCAGUAGCUGGUCUGAGAGGAUGAUCAACCACAUUGGGACUGAUACACGGCCCAAACUCCUACGGGAGGCAGCAGUGGGGAAUAUUGGACAAUGGGCGCAAGCCUGAUCCAGCCAUGCCGCGUGAGUGAUGAAGGCCCUAGGGUUGUAAAGCUCUUUUGUGCGGGAAGAUAAUGACGGUACCGCAAGAAUAAGCCCCGGCUAACUUCGUGCCAGCCGCCGCAGUAA